UUUUUUUUUUUUUUUUAUCCCAGACGCCAUCUUUCAGCCUGGCUGCUGUUGUGUGGACUCCACACCUUUAAAAUGAAUCAUGGUAUCAUGGUCAUUGUGCCACAGGUGUGUAGCUGUCCCCGAUAAUGGAUUAAUGUUCAGACCUCCUCAGUGUGUGCUUUGUGUUUUUGUAGUGAUUGUAUUGUUUGGUAUUUAGUCAGGUUUUGAGACUGAAUCACUUUGUGUACCUGGCGUGAGGUCUGUCAGGUAGUUUUCUACGGUCUGGAUGGAUCAGUGCAUUUGGCCGCAGCAUAAAUCUUUAUAUACCAAUGUUGGUAUACUAGUGUUAAUAUCACACACUCACACAUAGGUUUUAAACCAAUCUGUUUUGUUUUAUGUUUUUGUAUUUUUUAUUCAAUCAUACAUUUAAUCUAAAAUGGCAAUUAAAGUUUUAAAAAGUAAUAUUUUGUCUAACUUGUUAUUUAAAUGUUGAUUACUUUUACUUGUUAAAAUGUAGUAAAAAUAUUUAACAUCUGAAUGUCACUUUGAACACCAUAUCACUUUAUUGUUAAUGUGCUACCGUAUAAUGGGAGGAUGGUUGACAGGCUCUACGGUAGGUUUGUUAAACUGUCUGUGCUUCUGUAACAGUUUAGCUCAUGUUUGUAACAUUUCAUCUGUUUGUGAAAGCAGAAAUUCAGUUAUACCUGGUAUGAUUCUUAGGUGUGUUUUAUGUAAAUGUUUGUACAAUUUAAUAAUCUUCAUGAAUCAGUAUGAAAUGUGUGAUGAGUUGAAUGUUUGCAUAUGUUUCUGGAAACAUUUCCUCACAGUGUCUCUGAUUUGUGAUUUAAGGUGGCCUGUUGAGGUCUGAGCUGCUGGAAGAUAAUUGGGAAAACAUAGAUGAACCAGUGGAGGUCAAGCCAAAGUUUGACCAGAAAAAAAGUGCUCAAAGUCAAAGUAGAGAAGCUAAAGAAAGUUUUGAGUGGAAGGUUAACUGAGAGCGACAGGAGGAGUACCUUUCUCCUCUUCCAAUACUCCUCACUGUGUUUUUCUGUCUCUACAGUUGAUUUGAUUCCCUUGAAAAAGAUGCAGCCAGUCUUCUCCUCCCACACUGGACCUUUACCUGCUCCACUUUAAUAGCUGGUGUCUGGCAGCAUUGUUGGGCAGUUUUUUGUCUCGUCCAUUUUGGGGGCAGAUCCUCGGUGUGGUAACAGAUAAGAAGCUACAAAGUUGUUACAUUAUUGAUGUUGUGUGCUAAUACAGGUCUGACCUUUCUAAUCAGUCUGUGCUAACAGUUUCAUUACCAAGCAGCGGUAACAGAGACGGGAUGUUCACUGUGAUGGUUACAUUAUCUCAAACUUUCAAGUCGCUGCAAGUUGAUCUAUAAUUCACUAAAAUUAGGGAGGCCUAGGGGGGAGGAAAAGCACUGCAUGAAAGUCUAAUUAUUGGCCGUAAUACAAAGUGGUGUGCUUUGUAACAAAAUAGUGGUGCAUGAAGAAUGCCAUUUAGAGAAUGCCUGAGCAAGACACGGCACAAAAGCAAGCAGAUUAGACUAUGAAGUAAAGUGCAAACCUCUUGACUCUGAACAAUUAUGUCUUGUAUGAAACCACAGCCUCUAUCAUAAUUUAUUCUCUUUUUGCCCCAUCAAAUAUCACUUGUGCCACAUUUUCUCUUUUUCAGCACAACCCAAGCACGACUCCCCCAACAAUAAAUAAAUAGGCAAGUGUGUUUUCACUUUUUGUUUUACCUCCAGUAAUCACAGACACUUUUUAAAAAUGGUUAAAGUAUACAUUGUGUAUUUUCUGCUGUCUGUAUUUAAAAUAGCAUCUAGUGAUCAACCCAAGUAAAGAAAAUGCAAAGCGGAGAGCAGAAUAAAUCCUGCCCAAAUAGUACAUUUACACAAAGGUGUAAAAUAUGAACAAAAACUUAUUUGUAAUAUCACAUCAAAUGUUGUUUGACAGAAUUAGGAUACAUGUCCAGUAAACAGUGCAUCCAAAGAGCAUUUAUAUGCUUAUGUUCAAUAUUCUUAAUUUCUGUUCCUUUUUUUGUUGUUGUUGUUGUUUUGAGCUGACAAAAUGUUGGACUGUACCUCAUAACAGAAUACACAAUAUUAUAUAAAGCAACAUGACAAGAAUUGCAUUGACAGGAUCUAAAAUUUACUUUUGGAUUUUUUUUUCUUUAGUUGGGAAGCAUUAUUUAAUUAAUUCAAGAUGAUUAAGAUUCACUGAAUUUCUCAUAUUUUGUCAGACAAGGGCAAAUGUGUGCUACAUACAGCAUAACAACCCACCAGAAAUACAAAUGCAAUCACACACGCACAACAAAAUGGCCCCUAUGAGCUUUGUGAAAUGCAAAUGUGUGACCUGACAGGGAACCUAACUUUCGUUUACAAGACAAACAAAAGCAGGCAUGUUUUCUUAAACUCUGCAAAGAAUGCCCUUUUCUCUCUCCGUCUUCUCCUUUCUUCUGUCCAGUGUGUGUGGUGGCAUUUCUGCUGAUAAGACCCAACCAGGAGGUGGAACAGAUGUUGCCCUGACAUCCAUCUGGGCCUUGUACCGCGGCUCUGCCUCCCACAGCCGAUGCUCCAAGCAGGGCACCCCACACUCCCGGCCCUUCACAGCAAGGGGUCAUUUCCAGUGGAAAAAAAGAAAACAAGCUGUUCUUCUCGGGAUCCUCAAGCAGUGACGCAGCACAGAAAUCCACCUUGAUGCUGCUUUCACUCAAGAUGUGCAGCAGGAGAUUCCUCAGAGCUGAUACUGAAUUUAAAGAGUUCCUCCUGUCAUGCAUGUGAUCCCACAGAUCUGGCCUAAUGAGCGCUCUGCCUUCCCAGACUUCAUCCACUCCUGCAGAUUUACAAACCAGGAUCUUCACAAAUUCAAGUGAAAAAUCAGCUCUGCAGCUGAUCCACACCAGCUAAAUCCUCACAGAACAGGCUGCCAACCAUUUUCAGUGGGACCACAAGGGGUAAGUAAAAAUAAAUAAAACUGUUCUUGUAAUUCAGGGGAACUGACCCUUAAUGUAAGUGUUAUCAACAAAUGGGGUACUUUACAUCUUAUACACGGUGGGUGAAAAGUAACUAGGCAUUAAAAAUUGGCUAUAGAACUAUAUCUUUGGCCAUUACUGACCUGAUGG
Monopterus albus (swamp eel) is the source of this 3105-nucleotide long non-coding RNA. RefSeq lists it as uncharacterized. The record is from RefSeq and is a predicted model, not a curated record. The transcript is spliced from 4 exons. Lineage: Eukaryota; Metazoa; Chordata; Actinopteri; Synbranchiformes; Synbranchidae.